CGAGCAAAGAAGCUGGGAAGGAGGAAAAAUUUGAGAAAAGGAAGAAAAAAAUGGGAAGAAGAAGAAGAAGAAGAAGAAGAAGAAGAAGAAGAAGAAGAAGAAGAAGAAGAAGAAAGAAAGAAAGAAAGAAAAGGAAAAAGGAAGGAAAACUUGGGUUCAAGUUCUUCAAUUUCUUCAAGAGGUAAAGUCAUAAUUUUUUUAUGGAAUGAUGAUGUUGAAUUUUCUAGGGUUUAAAGUAGUUGGUAUGAUUGUUGGUAUAAAUUAUAGAUUAAGAGAAAUUAGUACCAUAAUUUGUUGAAGUUCAUGGAUUGGUUAAUUUCUAUAUACACCAAGGUAAGAAGCACAAAUUUUUAGCAAACCCUAGAUUUUACAGUGGAUGCUUGAGUAAAGAUUAUUUGUGGAAAUGAUUAUGUGAUGAAAUUAUUCACUUGAAAGAACGAUUUUAUGGAACAAGACAUAUAUUAAAUUGGUUGUAAUGUGAUUACUAGUUUUCACUAGAAUGGAAGGGACAAAUUAUUUUUAUGCUUUGGUUGAAGGUUACUUUGAGAAGUUAAUUACUAGAAAAGGGACUAGAAUGAAGUGGAAUUAGCUCCAAUUGAUCAAAGGAAAAUUUGGAAAAAUUUAUUCAAGUAUUGAAAAUUUUAGUUUAAGUACUAUCAUUAGAGAUAAAAGGUUUCUUGUUUUGAUAUUGGUUAAAUUGGUUAUUUUGUAAUGUAUUUCAGGUGGUAGCGAGGAGAUCGAAAAAGCUUACCUACCUUCCUAGCCUGUAGCUUGACUUGUGAGUGGAUAAAAACUUAUUUUUUUGAAAUUAAUAUUUAUUAAAUUAUAUUAGAUCAGAAAAUUUAUUAUUUCAUAGAAUUUAUUUGACAGCAUGAUUUUCAGAAUAAAGUUAAUUAAUAAUCAGUUGUUUUCAAAAUUAAAUUUAGUUCAAUUAAAUCAUCUGAUUAGCAUGUUAUAUGAAUAUUAAAUAUAUCAGUAUAUAAAAUUAUUUUUAAAACUAUCAGAAAGUACCCAGGUGAUUUUACCCUAAAUUGCACUUGUGUGAAUGUGUUUCCACAGUGUAUGAUCUCAUAUGGUUACUUUACCCACUCUACACUAGUGUUAAUGUGUUUCCACAUUGUAUGAACAGUUAUGAUGAUUUUACCCGCUCUAUAUUAUUGUGAAUGAGUUUCCAUAGUGUAUGACCAUAUUAUAGCCCAUGGGCAGCUCUACAUACGUAUGACCAUAAUUUCAAAAUAUAAUAGCUUUGCCAUAUAUAUCAGUAUUAAUCGAUACAUUAAAGUUAUUUUGGGUACCUUUUUAGUGUGAUUUUUAGUAAUUUACAGUUUAGCAUUUAUCAUAUUAUAGAAUUUAGUUAUUUUAGUUUAAAGAACAAAGGUUUUAGCUUAUAAUACUGUAAUAGAAUAUUUUCAUUAUUUAUUAGUUUUCAAAAAGUUGGCAUAUACGGAAAUUAUGUUCUUAUUUGCAAAAUAUCCACUCACCGAAUUAUAGGCUCAUAUAUUUUUAUCACCCUUUCUCUUAUCAGAUAGUUGCUAAGUUGGGCACCAUUGGAGCCAGUUGAUCCACCGAGUUGAGCCAUACAUUGUCAAGCAUUUUAUGAUUCAUCUUAUCAGUAUAUAGAGUUCAUAACUUGGGAUAGACACAUCUUUCGGUCAAAAGAUAGUUCCUUGUCAUGGGCUGCUGUGUUUUGUAUAUAUUAUGCAUUUAGGAACUUUUGUUUGUAAAUAAUUGAAAAAGUCGAUUUACCAACGUAAUACUUUGAAUAGUUGUGUUUUGAGGGCCUGUGUACCUUAUUUUGAACUACAUGUACAUGUCUGGGAUAUUUGAUUAUAUUCUCAAGUGGUUUUAGUCCAUAUUUUAGAGAGAACUUUGCCAAAAAAAUUUCAAAAUUAUGUCGCAGUUAAAGCAGGUCAAGAUUGCCUUGGUGUGGGUCCAGCACGUAGUUGGUAUCUACCAUUAGUGCACGACACAUGUCAAGUCCAUUAGGUUGAUUCGGGACGGG
This 2002-nucleotide long non-coding RNA is filed under the name Olea europaea subsp. europaea. The record is from RNAcentral. Lineage: Eukaryota; Viridiplantae; Streptophyta; Magnoliopsida; Lamiales; Oleaceae.